UGUCGCGACAUUCACGUUAUGUUUUUACUGCGAAAUCGCAGGAAACUGUCGUGUCAGGUUGGAUCAGUGAUUCGGAUUUUCAAAUAAGCACCUGAUCGUUUUAAGGUAACCUAUCUCUUUCUACGGCAAUGACUAAUGAAAUGCAGCAGUGAAUUUUCUUGGUAAACAUCAUGGGCGUAGCAAGGUGUCCAACCCAAAAAAGAUGGUACGUGAUCUGUUAAAGAAGCCUUGCUGCAGAUCCAUUUCAGGUUCCGAAUCACCCAGCUCACCCCUGAGGUAGUCAGUGAUCUUAUUAUUGAAUCGGUGGCGCCCUUUGAGAUCUCUCCCGAGCUAGCCAGCGGCCAUAGUGGGGUCUGUGAAGAAGGAAGGUGACAUAAUUGGCGCCCAAUGUGGGGCCACACGUUGGGUACGUUUAGAACAGAUGAGGGGACGCAACAUCGGAAUUUGAGGUAAGCGCCAUAGGAAAGGAUCUGGAAAUAAAAGCAAGUUUGGAUAAAAUCCUUUAAAUUCAACAAGGCGGCCCACUACAAAAGUCGUAAUCAGAAUUUAAACAUAAACUUUUUCAAGGCUUCAUUUCAAUAGAAUGGGUGAUAACUAGCCUCAUGAAAAUAAUAAUUCGGCCAACUUCGAUCAACAUUACUUAUAUGGAUAAAGCAUGAUAUUAGCUCUACUUUCACAAUAGGUAAGUACAGGCCAUGAAUUGAGACAACUUUUCAACUUUGCUUUCAAUGCCGAAAAUAUAUACAAAUUAUUAAAUUUGAUCUAUCGAGACAUCGAGUCGAUGUGUCAGCUAUUGAAUGCAAUUUAUUCCACUUGAAUGACUAUCAAAAUCAGUUUUUAAUGUUGAUGU
Molecule: long non-coding RNA, 850 nt
Organism: Harmonia axyridis
Lineage: Eukaryota; Metazoa; Arthropoda; Insecta; Coleoptera; Coccinellidae
Exons: 4
Source: RefSeq, a predicted model, not a curated record